GAAGGUAUAGCUCAAAUGGUAGAGCACAUGCUUCAUAUGCAUGAGGUCCUGGGUUCAAUCUCCAGUACCUCUU
RNAcentral lists this transfer RNA (73 nucleotides) under Camelus ferus (Wild Bactrian camel). It matches the Rfam family "tRNA". From Rfam's summary of the family: Transfer RNA (tRNA) molecules are approximately 80 nucleotides in length. Their secondary structure includes four short double-helical elements and three loops (D, anti-codon, and T loops). Lineage: Eukaryota; Metazoa; Chordata; Mammalia; Artiodactyla; Camelidae. The record is from Rfam by way of RNAcentral.